Molecule: ribosomal RNA, 446 nt
Filed under: uncultured bacterium
Lineage: Bacteria
Description: partial 16S ribosomal RNA
Rfam family: Bacterial small subunit ribosomal RNA
Source: RNAcentral
CCAGACUCCUACGGGAGGCAGCAGUGGGGAAUAUUGCACAAUGGGGGGAACCCUGAUGCAGCGACGCCGCGUGGGUGAAGGAGUAUUUCGGUAUGUAAAGCCCUAUCGGCAGGGAAGAAGCAAGACGGUACCUGACUAAGAAGCCCCGGCUAACUACGUGCCAGCAGCCGCGGUAAUACGUAGGGGGCGAGCGUUAUCCGGAUUCACUGGGUGUAAAGGGAGCGUAGACGGCCAAGCAAGCCAGGGGUGAAAGCCCGGGGCUCAACCCCGGGACUGCAUUUGGAACUGUGCUGCUAGAGUGUCGGAGAGGCAGGCGGAAUUCCUAGUGUAGCGGUGAAAUGCGUAGAUAUCAGGAGGAACACCGGUGGCGAAGGCGGCCUGCUGGACUGCGACUGACGUUGAGGCCCGAAAGCGUGGGGAGCAAACAGGAUUAGAUACCCUGGUAG